RNAcentral lists this long non-coding RNA (4535 nucleotides) under Mytilus galloprovincialis (Mediterranean mussel). Lineage: Eukaryota; Metazoa; Mollusca; Bivalvia; Mytilida; Mytilidae. The record is from RNAcentral.
GGUUAUUAAGUGCAAAAAUCAAACUUUCUAGAACAUGGCGUUGUCGCAUAUCAAAUGAAAGCUCAUCUACCCUGUGUUACAUAUAUCAUACUUCCGAUCUCAAAAAUGUAGGCGGAUGAGGUCAUUAAGUGUAAAAAGCGAAAAGUUUCAGAAGGUAUGCUUGUCGUAUAUCAACGAACAAGGUCAUANNNNNNNNNNNNNNNNNNNNNNNNNGGUUGGUGACCUAAAGUUGUUAAAGGUUCUACCAAAUAAAGCUAAGGUUAUCUGAUAAAUUUAUACUUUUAAUGAUUUUUUUUCUCCUAAAUUUGUUUUCACAUUAAAUUUAACAUUAUGAGCUAUAAAUACCUUUUAUAGGACAUGGUUGACUCUGCCUUUCAGUGUACUGUAUCUUGCUGUUCUAGUAAGAGGCAAUUAACAUAGAAUCUAUAUUUGCAGCAAAAACUAAAAUACAAUGUGAUAAAAAAAUAUCUAAUGAUAAAAAAUUAUGAAUUGCUAUACAUGAUGGAAUUAUUGCAAUGUAUAAGUUAUGGGUCGUCGCAAAAAUAAUCACACAGUCACAUGUGCAUUUUGAAAGCUUUCAUUAUUUGUAAUGCAGCAAUUUAUUAAAGAUCAUUAUCUGAUUGCAUUUGUGUUAAUUUAUUGCACAAUUUUAAUAACUCCCAGAUGUCGAGAUGUUUAUCAUAUAUUUCAUGUAUUUCGAAGCACUAUUUGGAUGCUUCUAUCAUACUUUUUUCAUAUUCUUAAGAGAUUUGUCUGGAGAAUUGACAUACAUAAUACUUUAUCUAAGAGUUUGACAAAUCUCCUUUUAAUACAAAUAACAUGAACAUGCAUGCAGUUUUACAUUUAAUUCUUUUUUUUAGUCGAUUAUUUUUCUGGUAAAUGGGAGAUAAUCCAGUUAGAACUAUGUUCAAUCCCCUAUAAUAUCUGCAUUAUAUUUGAACAUGAUGAAUGUGCAGGUUUUAAAUAAAAAAAUGAAGUGGAAGGUUGAGGUGCACAAGAGGGGCCAUGUUAAUUUGUUGCUUAUUUAAACUGGUAACAUGUAUUUAUUUUAAAUAAAUAAAAAGACAAUUUCUUAUCUCUGAUUACAACUAAAAUCUGCAUUUUAACUUUUUAUGUAAAUGUACAGUGCUUAUUGAUAGUCCCUGUCUAUUGAAUUUUAAGGUUGACCAACCCAACCACAUCUAGGGUUUGUCAGACAUGCUUUGUAUUGAUGGAGGUCCUGAGUUUGAUCCCCAGCUGCCAGGUUAAAACUAAUUUAGACUUGAAAUAUGGUAUUACUAUUAAUGCUUUUUCUCUGCACAGCCUGCUGUAUUCAGAGUAGGAGCAGAACAUUUAAUAUAACAAAUAUCAAUUCUAUUUCUUUAAGAAGACGAAAAAAGUGUUGAAAACUGAUAAUUUAAAUGAAUUUUCUAAGUCCAAGGAUCAUUACUCUGCACACAAUCCAGACAGAAAACAAUUUAAACUUGAUCUGUAACUUGUCAUGAUAAAACUACAUACCAAUUUUCAAAUCAAUAUCUUCAAGCAUGACGAAAAAAGUGUGGAAACCUGAUUAUUUGAGUGAAUUUUUUAAGUCAAAGGACCAUAAACGCUGCACAAAAUCAUCAGACUGGAACAAAAUUCGUACUUGAUCUGUACAUGUAACUUGUCAUGAUAAAACAAUACACCAAAUAUCAAAUGAAUAUCUUCAAGCAUGAUGCAAAAAGUGUGGAAAACUGAUUUGCUGGACUGACGGAUGGAGAGACAGACUUAGUCACAUACAACUGAAUACUUUUUAUAGCUGCUAAGUCACAUGUAACUGAUAUUUUAAGUAAUGCUUUAAAUCAGCUGCUGCAGAGUUUCCUAAUUUUUUACUUGAGAAAAUUAUAUCAUACAAUUGUCUAUUUAUUGCUCAUAGCCAAAUGUCUCUUAUUGGGGAUUAUUUGGGUGUCAUGACAAUUUGACCAUUAUAGUCAAAUUUCGUUUGUUAAAUUAUUAAAUAAUGUAAUUUUUUCAAGUGGGUUGUCAAAGUACAUUACGAAAACAUCACUUUACAGGAAGACCUUUCAAUUGUUUUUACAAACAAUUGAGAUACUAGUUCUAAUGUUUUUUCUUUUUUUUCUUUUUUUUCUUCCAACAUUUUUUUUGGCAUGGCCUCCUACCGUUUCAGUUGAAGUUAUCAAGACCAAAUAUGGACCAUCGAUAGACCUCAUCAUGAAACUUUUACCAGAUGAACUUUUUGUAGGAUUUCAUCAUCCCCUUUAAGAAGUUAUCUCCCUUUUAUUGAUUUUUUUUCAACAUGGCCCCCCUCGUUGUUUUUAAAAGAUAUCAUGACCUUAUUUGGACAAUAGGUAGAUCUCAUCAUGAUGUAUUACCAUAUGAGGCUGAAUAGGAUUUCAUCAUCCCCUUUGAGAGUUAUAUCCCCUUGAAAGCAAUUUCUUUUAUUUGCAUUUUUCUCAAAAAGUAUUAGAGAUAGAAUCGAUUUGAAAACGGCACAACAUGUACAAGAACAGAGGACAAUGUUAAUAAACAUAAACAAUUAUUUUUGUUUUAACCCUUAUAAGGAGAGUUAUUUCCCUUGAAAAAUUAUAAAAAUUUUAGAAAAAUUUAUUUCGAGAACCGGAAGUCAUAGAGACUUGGGAACCUUCACCAAUAAUCUUAAAUUUCAUGUGACCUUUAAUAUGCACCCAAGGUCAAAGGUCACCGAGUGCAAAAAAAAUUUACGCUGCAAUUUCAAGCUUACAUAUUAGGAAAACGAUAAGACUUUGCUGCAUACAUACAGCGUAUAAAAUGUUCCUCUCGACGAGCUCUACAUUUUAUAUUAUAAGCCCAAAAAUGUCCGACCGUCUGUUCAAAAGUUACAACGGGAUGAUUCUUAAAAGUAUAGUAUUUUGUGUAUAUCUUUUAAAUGUAACAGAUAUCAACCUACUAUAAAAGUGCAAAGAUGAUCAGUAAUUCAAGACCUUCAAUUUGAGGUCAAUGUCAGGUCAUGAUGAAAUUUCACCUUGACCUUCACAUAUACUAAUGACCUUGACCUUGUGAUAUUUGAAAGGUCAAAGUGGUCCUGAGUUGAAUGGUGCUAGUCCCAUGUCUCUACGACUUCCGGUUCUUAAGUUUAGGUAUUGCAUCAUAUAUUUGAUGAUUAAUUGUGACCUUGGUGAACUUUGAAAUUGUCCCAAUUCUUUUUCUAUAAUGUUGUCCUUCAACUGUAGAUCAUUUAUCAUUUAACAGAUUUGAGAUAUCUAUUGUCGUUUUAGAGAUAAUGCAGUUUGAAGUUUUGCGAGCGGAGGCAUGUAUUUCUGAAUCAACAAGAGCUUACCACUUAAAAUGUUUUAGAAAUUGAAGAGGUUAACAUAGUUAUAUGUUUGACCCAAAUACCAAAAACAUUCCAUGGAAAAAAACGCCAAAAAUUCAAUUUGAAAUUUUCAAGUUUUGCAUUGACUUUGUAAGUUUCAUAACUUCUAUUUAUAUAGUUGAUAUUGCAUCAUUAUUUGCACUUUGUCAAAUGGGGUCAUCUGAUAUAUCAAAUUGAAGGUCUUAAUAAACUCUACUUAAAAAAUGAAAAUUUUAAACCCCCUUUUUCAUCCCAGGGGGACGGGUGGGGUCAUUUAGUGCAAACAUUCAAAUUUCUCUCAGAUGGUAAGGUUGUCGCAUAUCAAAUGAAAGAACAUAAAGCGUACAUUUCAAAUUUCAAAUUGACGUCUCCCAAAAAUGGGUUGGAUGGGGUCAUUGAGUGCAAAAAAUAAAUUUUCUUUUAAGAUAGGGUUGUUGUAUAUCAAAUGAAAGGUCAUGAUGUGUACAUUUGAAAUAUCAAAUUCCCGACCUCCAAAAAUUAGUUGGAUAGGGUUAUUAAGUGCAAAAAUCAAACUUUCUAGAACAUGGCGUUGUCGCAUAUCAAAUGAAAGCUCAUCUACUCUGUGUUACAUAUAUCAUAAUUCCGAUCUCAAAAAUGUAGGCGGAUGAGGUCAUUAAGUGUUAAAAAGCGAAAAGUUUCAGAAGGUAUGCUUGUCGUAUAUCAAACGAAAGGUCGUACAAAGUACAUUACGAAAACAUCACUUUUACAGGAAAGACCUUUCAAUUGUUUUACAAACAAUUGAGAUACUAGUUUAAGGUCUUCCUCUCCGCGAGGAAAGACCUUAUUGUUUUUCUUUUUUUUUUUUUUUUUUUUUUUUUUUUUUUUUUUUUUUUUCAUCCAGCAUUUGUUUAACAUGGCCUCCCCUUGUUUCUAUUGGAGUUAUCAAGACCAAAUAUGGACCAUCGGUAGACCUCAUCAUGAAGUAUUACCAGAUGAGGCUGUGUAGGAUUUCAUCAUCCCCUUUAGAAGUUAUCUCCCUUUUAUUGGUUUUUUUUCGACAUGGCCCCCCCUCGUUGUUUUUGAAGAUAUCAUGACCUUAUUUGGACAAUAGUUAGAUCUCAUCAUGAUGUGUUACCAUAUGAGGCUGCUAAGGAUUUCAUCAUUCCCUAUGAGAGUUAUGUCCCCUUGAAAGCAAUUUCUUUUCUUUGCAUUUUUCUCAAAAAGUAUUCAAGAUAGAAUCGAUUUGAAAACGGCAACAUGUACA